GUUUUGCUCAUCUUUGCUCUAUAUUGGCAGGGUUGGGUCUGUCUCAGUAUCAAUCUGAUAGAUCUAUCUAUGAAGAAUACAUCAGCCGUGUUGAUGCAAUAGUGUGUGCGUGUGUGUAUGUGUGUGUGUGUGUGUGUAUGUGUGUGUUAGGAGGGGGGGUCUAUAGUGCUGUCAGAUGACUCACUCUUGGGCCCCUAAUACACACACACACACACACACACACACACACACACACACACACACACACACACACACACACACACACACACACACACAAACUAUCUCUCCCUCUCCCACUCACUCUCUGUCUCCCUCUCUCCCCUGUUCUCCUGGAAGAGGGAUUCUUUAUCAAACUGCAUCAGACUAUUCUCCACUGGAGGGCGAAUUCUACAAGAGGAACAGGGCGAAUUGGAAGGAAUACAGUCGGAGCGAAGGGGUAGAGGCAACAGCAGCUGGAAGCAAGAGAGACAGAGAAAAUCCCGGCCCGAUCCCUGCAAGCAUCAUUCUCGCCACCGGAUUAAAUCCGUCCCCUCCUCGCACGCCAAACCACACGUUAGCACUAGCGCGGCUCCCCGCAAUUUCCUCUCAUCACUCAAACAUCAAACAUACUCCACGCGUCUCUUCUUCCUGCACUCUCUCAAAACACAGCUGGGGACGUACGGUAGCAUCUGCUAGCUAGCUGUAGCCCGACAGAUGAAACGCGUCCGGGGGACGAGCGCUCAUGUACAAUGUCUCUCAAAGCAAACGAUGCUGCUGUAUGAGUCAAACGUCAAAACCCCUCCAUCACACGGCUUCAGAAAACUUCGCGGAUAUUGCGAGUAACGGCGGUCUCCUCCUCCUACUCCUCCUCCGCCUCGCAGGCUACAGCCAACAGCUAGCUCUAGCGGGACAGUGAGGGAGGAGAGGAGCCAGCUGAGCUGACCGAUAUCAUACACGCUUCAACAGUGUUAAUCUCACUCCACCACCGCCACUUGUUUUUUCGUUUUUUUUAUAUAUAUUUCACAAACACGUUCCGAUUGUCACAGCACAGAGUAUGCGCAAGCCGAUGCGAAAUAAUCAGAAGAAAACACGCGUGUGGACAGGCGCUCCGGGACCGAUUGUGUGUCACACGGAGCGGGUUAAUGUCAGCCCGUAUAUACAUGCAGGCGCCUUAUCUGUCGCUGCCAUGCAUACUAAUCUAGGACCGUGCUCCGGUUCUAAUGCCCCUUCCUGUGUUAAGAAACACACAGAGGAUGGAAAAGACGACAUCAUGCGCUGAAUUAGACAGACGGUGGGAUCUGUGGCUUCUGUUUGAACGGCUGCGAACUAAAAAUGAACGGGAUGAUUUGUUUAAAGGUUGCCAAGCUUGUCCCAUGGGCGUUCAUGUUUGGAGAGCAAAUAUAGCCGGUGUGUCAGUAUACAGUCUGGGAAAUGCAAUGGAAUGAUGUUGCGUGUGCCUCUGCCUCGGUUCGCUUGACGUGCUGUGCAACCUCUUCCGUCAGAUGCGGUCGGAUUUUAUGAACAAUCCUGCUUGUGAUCGAGUUUUUAAUGCGGGAACUCGCAUGGCGUGAACCAUGCUACAUUUUAUGGUCAUGAAUGGUGUUUUCUUGAUGGUAAAAGCGUGCUGCUCUGAAUGGGGCUCACGUUAUGUAAAGAGAAAACAAUGCAUGUUCUGGAUUGUUUAGACUAGCAUACUUGCCUCAGUGGUGAUUAAAGAAGCAAACAUUACCCGCCCUCACAAAAAAAUGUAAUCUGCCUGUCCCUCUGGCUGUGGCGUCAUCACAGUCACAUAGUGUACUGUACAGAGUCUGUGCGAAGAGGGGCAUUGAGAAGCUUACAGGCUAACCGAGGCAGGUUGCAGGUGGUUUUCUCACCUUGUUUAGUCCACAUUAAAUAGAAGCACUAAAAUGUGUUAUUCAUGUGUUUUGAUAAUUGUUGCUAAUCGAUAACUAAUGCCAUACUAUAUAUAUGAUAUAUAGCCUAUAUAUGAUAAAUAAUAAUGUGUGUGUGUGUGUGUGUGUGUGUGUGUGUGUGUGUGUGUGUGUGUGUGUGUGUGUGUGUGUGUGUGUGCGCGAUAUAUAUGCCUUCUAAUGGGCAAUCCCAUCUAAUAAACAAGAGGCAAUGCAGAUGUAAAAUUGUACUAGUAUUAGAAUUGACCCACAGCAUCAAUAAAAAACUGAAUGAGCGUUUAAUUAUUUAUUUUGUUAUUGGAGUGCAUAUUAUGCACAUAAUGGUGCUUAUGCUCGUACAAUCAUACCUGUG
This 2241-nucleotide long non-coding RNA is filed under the name Gadus morhua (Atlantic cod). RNAcentral's name for it is "lncRNA (ENSGMOG00000027456.1)". Lineage: Eukaryota; Metazoa; Chordata; Actinopteri; Gadiformes; Gadidae. The record is from RNAcentral.